CCUACCGCGAGGUGAGGUCUGAAGGAGGCCGGAGGCAAAACCGCGGCCUGAUGAACAAGACCCCCAUACGAGGCUGGUCCGUUCGGAUGAGCUGGCGCUACACAGCAAAAUCCUAGGCUGUCAAAGUACGGUAGAGUAAAUGGGGCAGGCGCGGGGCGAAGGUCAGUGUU
Molecule: non-coding RNA, 170 nt
Organism: Thermosinus carboxydivorans Nor1
Lineage: Bacteria; Bacillati; Bacillota; Negativicutes; Selenomonadales; Sporomusaceae
Source: Rfam